AGAGUUUGAUCAUGGCUCAGGACGAACGCUGGCGGCGCGCUUAACACAUGCAAGUCGAGCGAGAACCGGAGCUUCGGCUCCGGGGACAGCGGCGAACGGGUGAGUAACACGUGGGUAAUCUGCCCUCGGUUCCGGGAUAGCCCGGGGAAACUCGGAUUAAUACCGGAUAGCCUCACGAGCCUUCGGGCGCGUGAGAAAAGGUAGCUUCGGCCUCUGACCGAGGAUGAGCCCGCGGCGGAUUAGCUUGUUGGCGGGGUAACGGCCCACCAAGGCGACGAUCCGUAGCUGGUCUGAGAGGACGAUCAGCCACACUGGGACUGAGACACGGCCCAGACUCCUACGGGAGGCAGCAGUGGGGAAUCUUGCGCAAUGGGCGAAAGCCUGACGCAGCGACGCCGCGUGGGGGAAGAAGGCCUUAGGGUUGUAAACCUCUUUCAGGUGGGACGAAGCCACUCGGGUGAAUAGCCCAGAGGGUGACGGUACCGCCAGAAGAAGCCCCGGCUAACUACGUGCCAGCAGCCGCGGUAAUACGUAGGGGGCAAGCGUUGUCCGGAUUUAUUGGGCGUAAAGAGCGUGUAGGCGGCCAGGUAGGUCGGUUGUGAAAACUGGAGGCUUAACCUUCAGACGUCGACCGAAACCAUCUGGCUAGAGUCCGGAAGAGGAGAGUGGAAUUCCUGGUGUAGCGGUGGAAUGCGCAGAUAUCAGGAAGAACACCCGUGGCGAAAGCGGCUCUCUGGGACGGUACUGACGCUGAGACGCGAAAGCGUGGGGAGCGAACAGGAUUAGAUACCCUGGUAGUCCACGCCGUAAACGAUGGGUGCUAGGUGUGGGGGGUGUCGACUCCCCCUGUGCCGAAGCUAACGCAUUAAGCACCCCGCCUGGGGAGUACGGCCGCAAGGCUAAAACUCAAAGGAAUUGACGGGGGUCGCC
This 930-nucleotide ribosomal RNA is filed under the name uncultured bacterium. Its description in RNAcentral is "bacterial SSU rRNA". It matches the Rfam family "Bacterial small subunit ribosomal RNA", at positions 8 to 924 of the family's 1533-position model. The record is from RNAcentral.